Molecule: long non-coding RNA, 461 nt
Organism: Passer domesticus (house sparrow)
Lineage: Eukaryota; Metazoa; Chordata; Aves; Passeriformes; Passeridae
Exons: 3
Source: RefSeq, a predicted model, not a curated record
CACUCUCACCUGUUACUUCUCCUACAAGAGCAGUUAGAGACCAGAGUUCCACUGCUCUUGACACAGAUGAGAGCUCUUCCACAUAUGAGGCACGGUUCUGCUUCAUAAGGCAGACUGAGAAAAACUGUAACUUAACAAGUUUCUUAGAGAGCAAGAACACAGCUCAGAAGAGUUUAUUAAGAGACUGGACCUCAUUUUUCUGUGGACACUGGCAACCCUAAAGGACACCUACUGUCUAUCUUUAACACAAUGAAGAUUCAAGAUCAGAAGCUGGAUGAAAGAUUCCAUAUGCAACAUUGCAGUCCUUGGAUACCAAAAAGCACCUUCAUAAUAAAAAAAAAAGUACAAGAUGCUUUUUUCUACAAUUAAUAUUUCACACAAUAAGUUUUUUCAGAUUCAGAUAUUGUGAGUUCUUUUUGCUAAUGGCAAUUAAAACACUAUAAAACUACCCAUGUUCUCAA